UUCGGGAACUCUGAGACAGGUGCUGCAUGGCUGUCGUCAGCUCGUGUUGUGAAAUGUUGGGUUAAGUCCCGCAACGAGCGCAACCCUUAUCCUUUGUUGCCAGCGGUCCGGCCGGGAACUCAAAGGAGACUGCCAGUGAUAAACUGGAGGAAGGUGGGGAUGACGUCAAGUCAUCAUGGCCCUUACGAGUAGGGCUACACACGUGCUACAAUGGCGCAUACAAAGAGAAGCGACCUCGCGAGAGCAAGUGGACCUCAUAAAGUGCGUCGUAGUCCGGAUUGGAGUCUGCAACCCGACUCCAUGAAGUCGGAAUCGCUAGUAAUCGUAAAUCAGAAUGCUACGGUGAAUACGUUCCCGGGCCUUGUACACACCGCCCGUCGCACCAUGGGAGUGGGUUGCAAAAGAAGUAGGUAGCUUAACCUUCGGGAGGGCGCUUACCACUUUGUGAUUCAUGACUGGGGUGAAGU
Molecule: ribosomal RNA, 467 nt
Filed under: uncultured bacterium
Lineage: Bacteria
Description: bacterial SSU rRNA
Rfam family: Bacterial small subunit ribosomal RNA
Source: RNAcentral